Molecule: ribosomal RNA, 446 nt
Filed under: uncultured bacterium
Lineage: Bacteria
Description: bacterial SSU rRNA
Rfam family: Bacterial small subunit ribosomal RNA
Source: RNAcentral
CCAGACUCCUACGGGAGGCAGCAGUGGGGAAUAUUGCACAAUGGGGGAAACCCUGAUGCAGCGACGCCGCGUGGGCGAGGAAGUACCUCGGUAUGUAAAGCCCUAUCAGCAGGGAAGAAACAGGACAGUACCUGACUAAGAAGCCCCGGCUAACUACGUGCCAGCAGCCGCGGUAAUACGUAGGGGGCAAGCGUUAUCCGGAUUUAUUGGGUUUAAAGGGUGCGCAGGCGGAAGAUCAAGUCAGCGGUAAAAUGGGGAGGCUCAACCUCUGCGAGCCGUUGAAACUGGUUUUCUUGAGUGAGUGAGAAGUAUGCGGAAUGCGUGGUGUAGCGGUGAAAUGCAUAGAUAUCACGCAGAACUCCGAUUGCGAAGGCAGCAUACCGGCGCUCAACUGACGCUCAUGCACGAAAGUGUGGGUAUCGAACAGGAUUAGAUACCCUUGUAUU